ACGCUCGACACCUACGUGAGGCAGCAGUUGGGAAUAUUGGACAAUGGAGGAAACUCUGAUCCAGUGACGCCGCGUGAAGGAAGAAGGUCUUCGGAUUGUAAACUUAUUUUGUCAGGGAAGAAAAAUGACUGUACCUGAAGAAAAAGCACCGGCUAACUACGUGUCAGCAGCCGCGGUAAUCUGAGCGGGCUGGCAAGGC
RNAcentral lists this ribosomal RNA (199 nucleotides) under uncultured bacterium. RNAcentral's name for it is "partial 16S ribosomal RNA". It matches the Rfam family "Bacterial small subunit ribosomal RNA", at positions 328 to 539 of the family's 1533-position model. The record is from RNAcentral.